GAUGAACGCUAGCUACAGGCUUAACACAUGCAAGUCGAACGAGUGGCGGACGGGUGAGUAAUGUCUGGGAAACUGCCCGAUGGAGGGGGAUAACUACUGGAAACGGUAGCUAAUACCGCAUACCAUCGGAUGUGCCCAGAUGGGAUUAGCUAGUAGGUGGGGUAAAGGCUCACCUAGGCGACGAUCCCUAGCUGGUCUGAGAGGAUGACCAGCCACACUGGAACGGAGACACGGCCCAGACUCCUACGGGAGGCAGCAGUGGGGAAUCUUCCGCAAUGGACGAAAGUCUGACGGAGCAACGCCGCGUGAGUGAUGACGGCCUUCGGGUUGUAAAGCUCUGUUAAUCGGGACGCGGUACCGGAAUAGAAAGCCACGGCUAACUAUGUGCCAGCAGCCGCGGUAAUAC
This 406-nucleotide ribosomal RNA is filed under the name uncultured bacterium. Its description in RNAcentral is "partial 16S ribosomal RNA". It matches the Rfam family "Bacterial small subunit ribosomal RNA", at positions 28 to 526 of the family's 1533-position model. The record is from RNAcentral.